CCCUUAGAUGUUCUGGGCUACACGCGUGUUACACUGGUACAUUCAACAAGUUUAAUCUUUCCUUACCCGAUGGGGUUGGGUAAUCUUUUAAAUAUGUAUCGUGAUGGGGAUAGAGCAUUGUAAUUAUUGCUCUUGAACGAGGAAUUCCUAGUAAGUGCAAGUCACUAACUUGCGCUGAUUACGUCCCUGCCCUUUGUACACACCGCCCGUCGCUCCUACCGAUGAAUGGUCCGGUGAGGAUUCAGGAUGACCGCAGAUCUUGGCAUAGCCACUCUGUUGAUUGUCAGAAUUUGUUCAAACCUUAUCAUUUAAAGGAAGGAGAAGUCGUAACA
This 332-nucleotide ribosomal RNA is filed under the name uncultured eukaryote. RNAcentral describes it as "partial 18S ribosomal RNA". It matches the Rfam family "Eukaryotic small subunit ribosomal RNA", at positions 1470 to 1796 of the family's 1831-position model. The record is from RNAcentral.